This 339-nucleotide ribosomal RNA is filed under the name uncultured bacterium. RNAcentral describes it as "bacterial SSU rRNA". It matches the Rfam family "Bacterial small subunit ribosomal RNA", at positions 135 to 507 of the family's 1533-position model. The record is from RNAcentral.
CUGGAGGGAUAAGCAUUAGGAAACGAUGUCUAAUACCGCAUAUGGUCUUCGGAUUAAAGCUUCGGCGGUUUGGGAAGAGCCCGCGUAAGAUUAGCUAGUUGGUGAGGUAAAGGCUCACCAAGGCGACGAUCUUUAACUGGUUUGAGAGGAUGAUCAGUCACACUGGAACUGAGACACGGUCCAGACUCCUACGGGAGGCAGCAGUUAGGAAUUUUCCACAAUGGGCGAAAGCCUGAUGGAGCAAUGCCGCGUGCAGGAUGAAGGCCUUAGGGUUGUAAACUGCUUUUAUACGUGAAGAAUAUGACGGUAACGUAUGAAUAAGGAUCGGCUAACUCCGUG